Molecule: ribosomal RNA, 253 nt
Filed under: uncultured bacterium
Lineage: Bacteria
Description: partial 16S ribosomal RNA
Rfam family: Bacterial small subunit ribosomal RNA
Source: RNAcentral
UACGGGGGGGGCAAGCGUUGUUCGGAAUUACUGGGCGUAAAGGGCUCGUAGGUGGCCAACUAAGUCGGACGUGAAAUCCCUCAGCUUAACUGGGGAACUGCGUCCGAUACUGGAUGGCUUGAGUUUGGGAGAGGGAUGCGGAAUUCCCGGUGUAGCGGUGAAAUGCGCAGAUAUCGGGGGGAACACCAAUGGCGAAGGCAGCUCGCUGGGACGUUACUGACGCUGAGACGCGAAAGCGUGGGGAGCAAACAGG